UAAGGAAUAUUGGACAAUGCCCGCAAGGGUGAUCCAGCCAUGCCGCGUGCAGGAAGAAGGCCCUAUGGGUCGUAAACUGCUUUUGAACUAGAGAAAACCCUUCUACGUGUAGAAGGCUGAUAGUAUAGUUAGAAUAAGCAUCGGCUAACUUCGUGCCAGCAGCCGCGGUAAGACGAAGGAUGCAAGCGUUAUCCGGAUUCAUUGGGUUUAAAGGGUGCGUAGGCGGCCUGAUAAGUCAGUGGUGAAAGCCUGUUGCUUAACAACAGAACUGCCAUUGAUACUGUCGGGCUUGAGUACAGAUGCUGUGGGCGGAAUAUGACAUGUAGUGGUGAAAUACAUAGAGAUGUCAUAGAACACCGAUUGCGAAGGCAGCUCACAAAACUGUAACUGACGCUGAGGCACGAAAGUGCGGGGAUCAAACAGG
This 424-nucleotide ribosomal RNA is filed under the name uncultured bacterium. RNAcentral describes it as "bacterial SSU rRNA". It matches the Rfam family "Bacterial small subunit ribosomal RNA", at positions 355 to 776 of the family's 1533-position model. The record is from RNAcentral.